UACAGAGGUGGCAAGCGUUGUUCGGAAUUACUGGGCGUAAAGGGCGCGUAGGCGGCCUGCUAAGUCGAACGUGAAAUCCCUGGGCUCAACCCAGGAACUGCGUCCGAUACUGGUUGGCUUGAAUCCGGGAGAGGGAUGCGGAAUUCCAGGUGUAGCGGUGAAAUGCGUAGAUAUCUGGAGGAACACCGGUGGCGAAGGCGGCUUCCUGGACCGACACUGACGCUGAGGCGCGAAAGCUAGGGGAGCAAACGGG
This 253-nucleotide ribosomal RNA is filed under the name uncultured bacterium. Its description in RNAcentral is "partial 16S ribosomal RNA". It matches the Rfam family "Bacterial small subunit ribosomal RNA", at positions 524 to 776 of the family's 1533-position model. The record is from RNAcentral.